GUAUGGUGGUUCAGUGGUAGAAUUCUCACCUUGCAGGAGACCUGGGUUCGAUUCCCAGCCAGUGCA
This 66-nucleotide transfer RNA is filed under the name Loxodonta africana (African savanna elephant). It matches the Rfam family "tRNA". From Rfam's summary of the family: Transfer RNA (tRNA) molecules are approximately 80 nucleotides in length. Their secondary structure includes four short double-helical elements and three loops (D, anti-codon, and T loops). Lineage: Eukaryota; Metazoa; Chordata; Mammalia; Proboscidea; Elephantidae. The record is from Rfam by way of RNAcentral.